This 2992-nucleotide ribosomal RNA is filed under the name Salmonella enterica. RNAcentral describes it as "23S ribosomal RNA". It matches the Rfam family "Bacterial large subunit ribosomal RNA". Lineage: Bacteria; Pseudomonadati; Pseudomonadota; Gammaproteobacteria; Enterobacterales; Enterobacteriaceae. The record is from RNAcentral. RNAcentral also lists the same sequence under 1 other name.
GGUUAAGCGACUAAGCGUACACGGUGGAUGCCCUGGCAGUCAGAGGCGAUGAAGGGCGUGCUAAUCUGCGAUAAGCGCCGGUAAGGUGAUAUGAACCGUUAUAACCGGCGAUACCCGAAUGGGGAAACCCAGUGUGAUUCGUCACACUAUCAUUAACUGAAUCCAUAGGUUAAUGAGGCGAACCGGGGGAACUGAAACAUCUAAGUACCCCGAGGAAAAGAAAUCAACCGAGAUUCCCCCAGUAGCGGCGAGCGAACGGGGAGGAGCCCAGAGCCUGAAUCAGCAUGUGUGUUAGUGGAAGCGUCUGGAAAGUCGCGCGAUACAGGGUGACAGCCCCGUACACAAAAGCGCAUGUGUUGUGAGCUCGAUGAGUAGGGCGGGACACGUGGUAUCCUGUCUGAAUAUGGGGGGACCAUCCUCCAAGGCUAAAUACUCCUGACUGACCGAUAGUGAACCAGUACCGUGAGGGAAAGGCGAAAAGAACCCCGGCGAGGGGAGUGAAAAAGAACCUGAAACCGUGUACGUACAAGCAGUGGGAGCACAGGUUUACCUGUGUGACUGCGUACCUUUUGUAUAAUGGGUCAGCGACUUAUAUUCUGUAGCAAGGUUAACCGUAUAGGGGAGCCGGAGGGAAACCGAGUCUUAAUUGGGCGUUAAGUUGCAGGGUAUAGACCCGAAACCCGGUGAUCUAGCCAUGGGCAGGUUGAAGGUUGGGUAACACUAACUGGAGGACCGAACCGACUAAUGUUGAAAAAUUAGCGGAUGACCUGUGGCUGGGGGUGAAAGGCCAAUCAAACCGGGAGAUAGCUGGUUCUCCCCGAAAGCUAUUUAGGUAGCGCCUCGUGAAUUCAUCUCCGGGGGUAGAGCACUGUUUCGGCUAGGGGGCCAUCCCGGCUUACCAACCCGAUGCAAACUGCGAAUACCGGAGAAUGUUAUCACGGGAGACACACGGCGGGUGCUAACGUCCGUCGUGAAGAGGGAAACAACCCAGACCGCCAGCUAAGGUCCCAAAGUCAUGGUUAAGUGGGAAACGAUGUGGGAAGGCCCAGACAGCCAGGAUGUUGGCUUAGAAGCAGCCAUCAUUUAAAGAAAGCGUAAUAGCUCACUGGUCGAGUCGGCCUGCGCGGAAGAUGUAACGGGGCUAAACCAUGCACCGAAGCUGCGGCAGCGAACGUAUCACCCAAGACAACUUUACGGAGUUGACGAUUGACGGAGCGAAGCGACGUCAAAGCGUUCAUUAAAGUCGAGUUGGCUUAGGGAUACGUUCGUUGGGUAGGGGAGCGUUCUGUAAGCCGUUGAAGGUGGCCUGUGAGGGUUGCUGGAGGUAUCAGAAGUGCGAAUGCUGACAUAAGUAACGAUAAAGCGGGUGAAAAGCCCGCUCGCCGGAAGACCAAGGGUUCCUGUCCAACGUUAAUCGGGGCAGGGUGAGUCGACCCCUAAGGCGAGGCCGAAAGGCGUAGUCGAUGGGAAACGGGUUAAUAUUCCCGUACUUGGUGUUACUGCGAAGGGGGGACGGAGAAGGCUAUGUUGGCCGGGCGACGGUUGUCCCGGUUUAAGCGUGUAGGUGUGUGUUCCAGGUAAAUCCGGUUCACUUUAACACUGAGGCGUGACGACGAGGCACUACGGUGCUGAAGCAACAAAUGCCCUGCUUCCAGGAAAAGCCUCUAAGCAUCAGGUAACAUCAAAUCGUACCCCAAACCGACACAGGUGGUCAGGUAGAGAAUACCAAGGCGCUUGAGAGAACUCGGGUGAAGGAACUAGGCAAAAUGGUGCCGUAACUUCGGGAGAAGGCACGCUGACACGUAGGUGAAGUGAUUUACUCAUGGAGCUGAAGUCAGUCGAAGAUACCAGCUGGCUGCAACUGUUUAUUAAAAACACAGCACUGUGCAAACACGAAAGUGGACGUAUACGGUGUGACGCCUGCCCGGUGCCGGAAGGUUAAUUGAUGGGGUCAGCGCAAGCGAAGCUCCUGAUCGAAGCCCCGGUAAACGGCGGCCGUAACUAUAACGGUCCUAAGGUAGCGAAAUUCCUUGUCGGGUAAGUUCCGACCUGCACGAAUGGCGUAAUGAUGGCCAGGCUGUCUCCACCCGAGACUCAGUGAAAUUGAACUCGCUGUGAAGAUGCAGUGUACCCGCGGCAAGACGGAAAGACCCCGUGAACCUUUACUAUAGCUUGACACUGAACAUUGAGCCUUGAUGUGUAGGAUAGGUGGGAGGCUUUGAAGCGUGGACGCCAGUCUGCGUGGAGCCGACCUUGAAAUACCACCCUUUAAUGUUUGAUGUUCUAACGUGGACCCGUAAUCCGGGUUGCGGACAGUGUCUGGUGGGUAGUUUGACUGGGGCGGUCUCCUCCUAAAGAGUAACGGAGGAGCACGAAGGUUGGCUAAUCCUGGUCGGACAUCAGGAGGUUAGUGCAAUGGCAUAAGCCAGCUUGACUGCGAGCGUGACGGCGCGAGCAGGUGCGAAAGCAGGUCAUAGUGAUCCGGUGGUUCUGAAUGGAAGGGCCAUCGCUCAACGGAUAAAAGGUACUCCGGGGAUAACAGGCUGAUACCGCCCAAGAGUUCAUAUCGACGGCGGUGUUUGGCACCUCGAUGUCGGCUCAUCACAUCCUGGGGCUGAAGUAGGUCCCAAGGGUAUGGCUGUUCGCCAUUUAAAGUGGUACGCGAGCUGGGUUUAGAACGUCGUGAGACAGUUCGGUCCCUAUCUGCCGUGGGCGCUGGAGAACUGAGGGGGGCUGCUCCUAGUACGAGAGGACCGGAGUGGACGCAUCACUGGUGUUCGGGUUGUCAUGCCAAUGGCACUGCCCGGUAGCUAAAUGCGGAAGAGAUAAGUGCUGAAAGCAUCUAAGCACGAAACUUGCCCCGAGAUGAGUUCUCCCUGAGACUUUAGGUCUCCUGAAGGAACGUUGAAGACGACGACGUUGAUAGGCCGGGUGUGUAAGCGCAGCGAUGCGUUGAGCUAACCGGUACUAAUGAACCGUGAGGCUUAACCUU